This 1397-nucleotide ribosomal RNA is filed under the name uncultured bacterium. RNAcentral describes it as "16S ribosomal RNA". It matches the Rfam family "Bacterial small subunit ribosomal RNA". The record is from RNAcentral.
AGAGUUUGAUCCUGGCUCAGGAUGAACGCUAGCUACAGGCUUAACACAUGCAAGUCGAGGGGCAGCAUGGUCUUAGCUUGCUAAGGCCGAUGGCGACCGGCGCACGGGUGAGUAACGCGUAUCCAACCUGCCGUCCAGUAGGGGACAGCCCGUAGAAAUGCGGAUUAAUACCCUAUGUUCUCCGAGGAUGACAUCAGAUUCGGAGUAAAGAUUCAUCGCUGGACGAUGGGGAUGCGUCUGAUUAGGCAGCAGGCGGGGCAACGGCCCACCUGGCCAACGAUCAGUAGGGGUUCUGAGAGGAAGGUCCCCCACAUUGGAACUGAGACACGGUCCAAACUCCUACGGGAGGCAGCAGUGAGGAAUAUUGGUCAAUGGGCGCGAGCCUGAACCAGCCAAGUAGCGUGAGGGAAGACUGCCCUACGGGUUGUAAACCUCUUUUGUUCGGGAAUAAAGUGCGGCACGCGUGCCGUUUUGUAUGUACCGUUCGAAUAAGGACCGGCUAAUUCCGUGCCAGCAGCCGCGGUAAUACGGAGGAUGCAAGCGUUAUCCGGAUUUAUUGGGUUUAAAGGGUGCGUAGGCGGCUUGGUAAGCGGGAGGUGAAAUGCCGGCGCUCAACGUCGGAAGUGCCUCCCGAACUGUCGGGCUUGAAUGGUUGUGCCGUGGGAGGAAUGAGUGGUGUAGCGGUGAAAUGCUUAGAGAUCACUCAGAACACCGAUUGCGAAGGCAUCUCACGAACGACUGAUUGACGCUGAGGCACGAAAGCGUGGGGAUCAAACAGGAUUAGAUACCCUGGUAGUCCACGCAGUAAACGAUGAUGGCUAACCGCUGGGGCAGACGCUUCAGUGGCCAAGCGAAAGCGAUAAGCCAUCCACCUGGGGAGUACGACCGCAAGGUUGAAACUCAAAGGAAUUGACGGGGGCCCGCACAAGCGGAGGAACAUGUGGUUUAAUUCGAUGAUACGCGAGGAACCUUACCCGGGCUCGAACGGCAGAGGAACAAUCCAGAGAUGGUGCGGCCCUUCGGGGCUUCUGUCGAGGUGCUGCAUGGUUGUCGUCAGCUCGUGCCGUGAGGUGUCGGCUCAAGUGCCAUAACGAGCGCAACCCUUUUCGCCAGUUGCCAUCAGGUAGAGCUGGGCACUCUGGCGACACUGCCACCGUAAGGUGUGAGGAAGGUGGGGAUGACGUCAAAUCAGCACGGCCCUUACGUCCGGGGCUACACACGUGUUACAAUGGCGCGUACAGAGGGCAGGCGGCCGGCAACGUCCGUCGAAUCCCGAAAUCGCGCCGUAGUUCGGAUUGGGGUCUGCAACCCGACUCUAUGAAGUUGGAAUCGCUAGUAAUCGUGGAUCAGCACGCCACGGUGAAUACGUUCUCGGGUCUUGUACACACCGCCCGUCA